RNAcentral lists this ribosomal RNA (468 nucleotides) under uncultured bacterium. RNAcentral describes it as "partial 16S ribosomal RNA". It matches the Rfam family "Bacterial small subunit ribosomal RNA", at positions 28 to 507 of the family's 1533-position model. The record is from RNAcentral.
GACGAACGCUGGCGGCGUGCUUAACACAUGCAAGUCGAACGGAAAGGCCCUGCUUGCGUGGUGUGCUCGAGUGGCGAACGGGUGAGUAACACGUGAGUAACCUGCCCUUGACUUUGGGAUAACUUCAGGAAACUGGGGCUAAUACCGGAUAGGAUCUCCUGCUGCAUGGUGGGGGUUGGAAAGUCUCGGCGGUUGGGGAUGGACUCGCGGCUUAUCAGCUUGUUGGUGGGGUAGUGGCUUACCAAGGCUUUGACGGGUAGCCGGCCUGAGAGGGUGACCGGCCACAUUGGGACUGAGAUACGGCCCAGACUCCUACGGGAGGCAGCAGUGGGGAAUAUUGCACAAUGGGCGGAAGCCUGAUGCAGCAACGCCGCGUGCGGGAUGACGGCCUUCGGGUUGUAAACCGCUUUCGCCUGUGACGAAGCGUGAGUGACGGUAAUGGGUAAAGAAGCACCGGCUAACUACGUG